UCAGGCUGUCACCUACAUCUGUCUUCAUCUCCAGAGGAUGCUUCGAAGGGGAAAAAAAUAGCAAGGUUAGAGCCUAUGAAAUGUUGAGCAAACUUGAUCACCGUCGCUUGCAGUUAACAUGGAAAGCAAGCAGAUCGGUCCGGGAGGCUACGCCGGAUUGGCACUUUCGAUCUUAGCCACCUGCGCUGCGCCACUGGAUUUUGCUGUUAUGAGCUUUUUUUUGGCCGGGAGGGAAGAGGAGCUGGCAGCCGGAAGGGGUAUGAAGGGACUGGGCGGGCAGAAGGUGUGUCGCGGGGUCGCCGAUGACGCGGCGACAUCGGGUCGGGCUUAUCCUCUUCCCGGUCAUCUCUGCAUGCGUAUCCCUGGCCGUGCUACACCCGUCCGUGUGGGACGCAUCAGGCGGAUGCGGUGAGCAAGGUCGCGGACGCGGAGGACGUGUUGGUUAUCUAAAUAGCGAUAGGAUUUUGUUUCUGAUCAAGAUCUAUCUCUUUGGGAGCACUGAUUUUGUCACUGAGCCUCAAGGUAAGAGGUAGAAAGGAGGUGCUCAGUGGCAAGCGAUGGUAUCGGAUAAAAAGGCAUGGAAGCUGAUUUAAGCUAGUAGGCCGUACAAAAAAAGUACAGGAAGACGAAUUGAGGUGUUGUGCUACCACCUGGUCAGCAUGGAGGAUGAAGAAACUGAAUGUUCAGGAGAUACCAGUUGGUCAACGACAGUGAACCCCAAUUCAUACACAUUCUAUUCUUGGUCCUUGUUCUCCAAGAUCCGUGGAAGAUGCAAAAGUGAAUUCCGCCGAGAUCGAGUGCAAGCAGAGCUUCCAAGAUAAUAACUCAAUCCCUCUCUCAUAAGUAAUAAGCGGCAGUGGUAGAUUUUUGGCACCAGGAGGCUCCUAAAUCAGAUUCACCAAAGGUAAGCCAUGAUGAUAAAAUAAAAUGAUGCAAGUUCUUCAUAACCAUGUCAUUUUUCACUUUUGAUAGCACCAGCAGGACUAUCAGCUGACUCACAUUCCACCCAGAAGAGGAAAAUUAUCCACCAGAAAAUGACCCAACAACUCUCCCAUCAGAAGUACCAUGGAAGCAGCAGACAUACAUCUUCCAAGCGGAGAUGGAGCAUGCAAAGCAGAAGAUGGAACCACUGAGGAAUGCCUCCCGGCCAUGGCAUCAACAGCGGCAUGGCAACCUACAACAUCAAUCAAUCAGUAAACAACAUGACAUUGCUGGUAAAUUUCUAUGAUUAAUAUAAAUUUCUAUGAGUCUCCCGCUACACCGCCUUGGAAGCUUUCCCUCUUCAUCCGACCAUCGAGCACACACAGCCAGCAAGGUCCAUCACCACCAAUCCCAUCACCGCGAACAGCUCGCCUUCCAGAAGGAUCUACGGCAGCGCUGUGAGGUCUGGCCACGCAUCACCGCGAACAGCUGGUCCUCCAGCGGAAGCCGAACGACAGUGAGAGGUCUGGCCGACGCUGAGGAAUACCCAGGCAAAGCUGAAACUGCGGAGAUCGAUAGCAUGGCCGGAAGGGUUCGAGGAUCCUCCAUGGCGGCCAGGAGAGAGGAGUCCGGUGGAUGUAGAUGUGAAGAUCAGCCAAAGGGGUCGGUGGAGACAUUCAAUACUCCUCCUGGACAUCAAUGACCACAUGGUUUCUUCUGGAUCCGGCGAGGUCUGACGGAGAUGACAUCGACAGAGAAGAUGAGACCGGACCUCGUUAGCUGGCUCGCCGCUGCGUGCAUCUACAUGACGGUGCCGGAGGCCGUUGAUAACAUCUUCGAACGACACCCUCCAUUAUCGCGACGGCGCCGCGCGCAGAGGGUGACCGAUGCUCCUCUGCGCCGCUAGUUCCCCUGGGAAGGAGAGGAGGGGUCCGACCUUCUCGUCAGCCAGCCGCAGAGAGAAGGCCAGGCAGGGAGAGGAGAUCGCUGGGAAGGGUGUGGGCGGCGGUGUUGGGAAGGAGGAGAGCAGUCAAUUCCUAUUUUUUCUUGGCAUGGCGAAUUGGAGCGGUGGAGACGUGCAGAUCGAUGGUUGCUCGAUGUGGGGGUCUCCGCGCCGCUUUGACCGUCCCACGUUGUGAACCGGGAAACCGGGAAUUGUGGGUAUAGAAGAGAGAGAAACCUGUAAGAAGGGAUGAGCAACCGGAAACCAUAAGAAGUAAUACCGGAAGAAGCCGGUCAGAUCUGUUUUUUUCACGCGAGAAAAAAGAAAAGGAAGUCCCGCACGUCCAGGAAUAUCAGCUCGUGAAUAGGGGAAAACGCAAUCGUGCCAAAACCUGAUUGGUGGAAACGGGACCAUCAACAGUACCCAAAGUAAUCUCCUUGCGGCAGAAAGGGUUAGCUUUGAUAUAGUUUAUUAUGUAUUCUAUGAACGUGCACAAUUUCUAGUGGAAAUAGAUUAUAUAUCCUUGGAAGUGCAAGAAUAUCAAAAGUGGAAAUCUUGGUGUCUCCAAUAAGACAUGGAUGAUGGAUCCUUCGUCUUGUCUCCA
This is a long non-coding RNA of Lolium perenne, 2468 nucleotides long. RefSeq lists it as uncharacterized. NCBI's taxonomy places the organism in Eukaryota, Viridiplantae, Streptophyta, Magnoliopsida, Poales, Poaceae. The record is from RefSeq and is a predicted model, not a curated record.